CUGGUGUCUGUCUUCUCUUCGAGAGCCCGCUCUAGUGAACGUCUUCUCGAGCCGUAGGCGCCUCCCGUUUCUCGUUCCCCAGGUCCCCAGAGCAAUAUAGGUUAGUGCCAACCUUCUUCUCAUCGCCUAGGGGCUUCUCCUCUCUUCAUUACUUUUGUGUCUCCUUCCGAGUUAGCCUUCGGCGUCUCGUUCCCCUUUUGGUCUGUCUUUUUAGGAUCCU
This 220-nucleotide long non-coding RNA is filed under the name Elaeis guineensis (African oil palm). RNAcentral's name for it is "long non-coding RNA (EGUI_LNC025675)". Lineage: Eukaryota; Viridiplantae; Streptophyta; Magnoliopsida; Arecales; Arecaceae. The record is from RNAcentral.